CCCGUGUAAAAGCUCUUCGACGAGUCGAGUUGUUUGGGAAUGCAGCUCUAAAUGGGUGGUAAAUUUCAUCUAAAGCUAAAUACUGGCCGGAGACCGAUAGCGCACAAGUAGAGUGAUCGAAAGAUGAAAAGCACUUUGAAAAGAGAGUUAAACAGCACGUGAAAUUGUUGAAAGGGAAGCGCUUGCAACCAGACUCGCCCGCGGGGUUCAGCCGGCAUUCGUGCCGGUGUACUUCCCCGUGGGCGGGCCAGCGUCGGUUUGGGCGGCCGGUCAAAGGCCCCUGGAAUGUAGUGCCCUCCGGGGCACCUUAUAGCCAGGGGUGCAAUGCGGCCAGCCUAGACCGAGGAACGCGCUUCGGCUCGGACGCUGGCAUAAUGGUUGUAAACGACCCGUCUUGAAACACGGACCAAGGAGUCUAACAUCUACGCGAGUGUUCGGGUGUCAAACCCGUGCGCGCAGUGAAAGCGAACGGAGGUGGGAGCCCCCUCGUGGGGCGCACCAUCGACCGAUCCUGAUGUCUUCGGAUGGAUUUGAGUAAGAGCGUAAAUGUGGGGACCCGAAAGAUGGUGAACUAUGCCUGAAUAGGGCGAAGCCAGAGGAAACUCUGGUGGAGGCUCGCAGCGGUUCUGACGUGCAAAUCGAUCGUCAAAUUUGGGUAUAGGGGCGAAAGACUAAUCGAACCAUCUAGUAGC
RNAcentral lists this non-coding RNA (692 nucleotides) under Aspergillus carbonarius ITEM 5010. RNAcentral describes it as "Eukaryotic large subunit ribosomal RNA". It matches the Rfam family "Eukaryotic large subunit ribosomal RNA", at positions 241 to 951 of the family's 3401-position model. Lineage: Eukaryota; Fungi; Ascomycota; Eurotiomycetes; Eurotiales; Aspergillaceae. The record is from Rfam by way of RNAcentral.